Bos taurus (domestic cattle) is the source of this 72-nucleotide non-coding RNA. Lineage: Eukaryota; Metazoa; Chordata; Mammalia; Artiodactyla; Bovidae. The record is from Rfam.
UCCCAAGUGGCUCAAUUGGUAAAGAAUCUGCCUGCAAUACAGGAAACUCAAGUUCAAUCCCUGGGUUGGGAA